This is a long non-coding RNA of Betta splendens (Siamese fighting fish), 1654 nucleotides long. RefSeq lists it as uncharacterized. The record is from RefSeq and is a predicted model, not a curated record. Lineage: Eukaryota; Metazoa; Chordata; Actinopteri; Anabantiformes; Osphronemidae. The transcript is spliced from 3 exons.
UCGAUGGCAAGCGAGCUGAUGAAGAGGAGGAGGAACAUGACCAACAGCCACUGGCACUGAGCUGCCUGCAUGUAGAGGUGCUGGGACGCCAGCGAGAAGUCUGCACCGGCUGUUUCAGCUCAGACCUGGACUCUUCGGGGAGGAAUUCUGAGGUCAUGUGGUCAGAGUUCUCCGAGCACGUCACGAAGAAGCGACUGUGGCGAAAGUCGAUGGCAAGCGAGCUGAUGAAGAGGAGGAGGAACAUGACCAGCAGCCACUGGCACUGAGCUGCCUGCAUGUAGAGGUGCUGGGACGCCAGCGAGAAGUCUGCACCGGGUCGAGAGGAUGCAGGACCAAAUCACAGCAGCCACUGGGCGACAGGACGGCAACAGCCUGGACAGGUGGCCUGUCCAUCACAGGACGCUUAAGACCUUGGAUACGAAGAAGCCCCAGAAAUCUAGGCCUCAGUCUGUGACCUUGUUACUCUAACGUGUGAAAUACUCAGCUCGUUUGGUUAAAGGAUACAGAGUACGAUGCAAACCGUGAUGAUUCCGGACAGCAGGAAACGAACGAUGGCGACCUUCUUCCCCUCCUUCAUCAGAUUCACUUUCAGAGUGAUGUAGGACUGCAGCCAGCAGAAUAUCGAUCCCACUCCAAACGUCAAGCAGGUGCCAAAGUCAUGAACCUUCAUCUGAGUAAAUACCUAAAAUAGUAAAACAAUAGCUUGUGUAAUAACUGACUUCAUCUACAAAGCAGCGUUUACACUGUCAGAUACGCGUCUUCUGGUGGUGUGUGUUACCUGCACGUUUCCAACCAGCGUCAUUCCAAAGCAGGCAACAGAGAAAGUCACCAGACUGACGACGUUGAGCCACGCUUUGUUUACUCUGGGUCUCAGCUGCAGGUACCUGAGCACAGCAAUGAUGAACCCUGGGAGGAAAAAGGAGUCCAUUCUCACUCUGCUUUCCUCUACAUCAUUUCAUCAAAUGUGGCACAAAUGUGAUUCAAGGAUGAACUAAUUGGAUUUCAUUGGUCAGGGGUGAGGCCUCACACCUCAUUUGUUCAUUUGAGCAGUUCAGACCUGGAGAUCUGGAGGAGAAAGAAGACUUGAUGCAACUUGCAAACAACGACGUUGCUGACGUCUUCUGAUCAUGGAAUCUCAAGAUUUUCAGUAACACUAACUUCGAUGAAUUGAUUAAGAUUCUGGUGCCUAAAGGUCAAGCUCGGCAUUCCAGGUUAUGUUUUACGUUAGAAAAUACCUAGUGGGCAUUUCAUUUCAUCUUGAGCUCACAAAUAAACUGAAACCCUGACCAAAAUUCUCACAGAUUCAUAAUCCAGUCUUAUCCUUUAAAUAUGUGUUUGGACCAAUGUUGAGACGUUGUGUAAAAAAUCUGUUGGAUUAAAAAUGACUGGCUGCUUUUACCUCCAAACGCUGCCAGGUUCAUGACCUCGCUGAAGAGGCAGCUGACUGGCGGAAAGUUUCCUGCGACACUGAGGCAAGAAGGAAAAAUACAUUUUUCUUCUACAAAAAAACACCAAAGCUAUGUGUUCUGUGAAAAGGAAAUUAAAGUGUGUACCUGAUGAAUGGAGGAUACAGUGACUCAUUGAUUUUCCUGAAAACAAUUUUUAAAUAUGUUAUAGUUUAAAAAUAAAUAAAAACCAUAACUUGGUCAAAGAA